CAGUCGCCGCGGUAAAACGAAGGGUGCAAGCGUUAAUCGGAAUUACUGGGCGUAAAGCGUGCGUAGGCGGUGAGUUAAGUCUGCUGUGAAAUCCCCGGGCUCAACCUGGGAAUGGCAGUGGAUACUGGCUCGCUAGAGUGUGUCAGAGGAUGGUGGAAUUCCCGGUGUAGCGGUGAAAUGCGUAGAGAUCGGAAAGAACAUCUGUGGCGAAGGCGACUAUCUGGGCCAACACUGACACUGAGGCACGAAAGCGUGGGGAGCAAAUAGGAUUAGAUACCCCCGUAGUCCCUGUCUCUUAUAC
Molecule: ribosomal RNA, 301 nt
Filed under: uncultured bacterium
Lineage: Bacteria
Description: partial 16S ribosomal RNA
Rfam family: Bacterial small subunit ribosomal RNA
Source: RNAcentral